Molecule: ribosomal RNA, 494 nt
Filed under: uncultured bacterium
Lineage: Bacteria
Description: partial 16S ribosomal RNA
Rfam family: Bacterial small subunit ribosomal RNA
Source: RNAcentral
GACGAACGCUGGCGGCGUGCUUAACACAUGCAAGUCGAACGGAAAGGCCUGCUUACCCUUGUGGAUUGCGGGUACUCGAGUGGCGAACGGGUGAGUAACACGUGAGUGAUCUGCCCCCAACUUGGGUAUAAGCCUGGGAAACUGGGUCUAAUUCCCGAUAGGACUGCAGGGUGGUGCCUGUGGUGGAAAACGAUUUUCUAGUGGUUGGGGAUGAGCUCGCGGCCUAUCAGCUUGUUGGUGGGGUAAUGGCCUACCAAGGCGGCGACGGGUAGCCGGCCUGAGAGGGUGGACGGCCACAUUGGGACUGAGAUACGGCCCAGACUCCUACGGGAGGCAGCAGUGGGGAAUAUUGCACAAUGGGCGGAAGCCUGAUGCAGCGACGCCGCGUGGGGGAUGACGGCCUUCGGGUUGUAAACUCCUUUCGACCGCGAGGAAGCCACCUGGUUGGAAGGGUGGUGACGGUAGUGGUAGAAGAAGCACCGGCUAACUACGUG